Molecule: long non-coding RNA, 909 nt
Filed under: Sinocyclocheilus anshuiensis
Lineage: Eukaryota; Metazoa; Chordata; Actinopteri; Cypriniformes; Cyprinidae
Description: lncRNA (ENSSANG00000032599.1)
Source: RNAcentral
GGCCGACUGAGCAUUGACAUCCAAUGUGAUUCCGCAUGUUCCACGGUUUUGUUUUUUUUUUGCUUAUGUGAACAUGCACGACUCGCAAAAGCUUUUGGCUCAAGGGAAACAUGAUUUUAGUCUGGCCUGGCCAAUGUCCCGUUUUCAGUCUGGCUCAACCCCGCUGUUAGAAGACACUUUCUAUCACAGAAUAAAAAAAGAGAUUGCUUCUGUAGGUUGGUUCACAGAAAUGAGCAAGAAAUAAGGCCAUGUGUAACGUUAAAACUAGGCCAGUAGAACACCGAUGUCUAUAUGAAGAGGUGAGUUACCAUAUAUUUCUCAUUUGAAUGAUUGUUUUCACCUAAACUGAAAUGUUCUGCUGGACAAGGUGGGAUUUUAAUUCUUUGGUUUGGAUAAUUUUUUUUAGUAAAGAUUGAGGUGUCUAACUCUUUUAAUACACACACUGUUUCUUACAGAGGAAGUGCAAACUUAUUCCAGGAUCUGGUAUAAAUUUGGAGUAGGGACACUAAGGUUUUAUGUCUGAGAAUGCAACACUGUGGUCAUCUAGUUCUGGCUCCAAGCUCUUUAUCGGAUCUGGAACAAAGUUAAUUGUGCAGACCAAGAAAGUAGAAACACCAGCCUAUUACAGAUUUAAUAAGUCAUGUUUGGCAACCGACUUCACAAAACAUGAUGCUGUAAGCUUCACAGACGUUACACCAGUGCGAUAUUCAGGCCAAAAUUACUUCAGCAGCUUCACCUUUAAUGAUUCAGAACCCUGCCCAGAAAAAGACUGUAAGUCAGGAUCAUCCGGUCAAAAUGCUUAUUUUGAAACCGGUAAGUGUGCUUUUAUUUGCACAUUUAUAUAGUCUGCUGUGCGUUUCAUUUCAUUUGCAGUCCAUUACUACUAGUCUGUUACUGCCUGUUGUUUGA